ACUGUGAUUACAUAGUUUAAAGGAGAAAAGAAGAAGGCAACCCCUCAGUCUUUCAUUCUCACUUGCGACAACCCUAAUUUCUAAUGGCAGCGCCAGCCCCUCCGAUUGCAAUGCCAACCUCGGCAAGGAUUCAUCCACCCAUGAUCACUCCUCCGUUCGCGUGGGGGUGACAACACAGGCCUUGGUAAACCCCGCCAACAUUGAGAUGUACACGAGCUUCUCCGGCCACAAUCACUCCUCUGACCCCGUAAGCGCGUAAGCUCUAAAAUGACACCAUCUUUUCCUUUGAGGAAUUUCAUGCAACACCUGGUGAAUGCGAGAGAGAGACGGAGAUAUCAAGCUAAGCUUUAGAACAAAGCCAAAGAGAGAGAGAGAGAAAUUUCCCCUUUGUUCUCUCUGCUCCCUACCGAAGCUUCGUUCAUUAACGCCGUCUCAUUGUUAAUUUGGAAUUUGGCGCCGGAUUUUGAGUCUGAAGCUAUUCUUGAUCGGGAGUUAUCAAGGAUGGGCGCUGAUUGUGGAGUAUACAAUUGGUGGAUUAGCUGUUGCACGGGCCGUAACUCCAAACUUGUCGGUUGUAGGUGACAAAACCCUAGAAAAGCUCUCAGCUCUUAUGCUUCGCGAUCGAGGAAGAGAUUUCCAUUGAGUUGGUGGGGGCGAUGGUGGCGCAUAUACAGGGUCUCUCAGGGAGGUACGGCGGUGGUGACACACCUUUGUUCACUUCUGAAGCAAUCGGAGGACUACCUCACCUCACAGGGUUCUCGUCUUGCCCUCUUCUUGGACCAGCUCGACCCCUCCAAGCAUUCUCUCGGUUACCUCUUUCUUCUACAAGUAAUCCAUGGAGGAAUUUUCAUUGAUUAAUCAUAUCAACAGACAAGAGAGUUAUUGUGAUUGAUUUACUUUCACUCUCAUUUUUGCUUGCCGUUGUUAAGCUUGCAGAGGAUAGGCAUAUUGGCAGACUAAAUUGAAUGAACAAGUGAGUUUUUUUUUUCUUUUUUUGUGUUAUUAAUUUUAUUCAGUGAUAUACUUAUGUUUGGUCUCGUGAGUUUUUUUUUUUUAAUUUUAUUACUGUCAUAAUAUCAUUCCUUAGAUGAAAGGAAUGCUAAAAUGAAUCUUUUUAGACCAUUAUGUCAUUCCAUAUAGUCAUGCUAUCUUGUUUCAAAAAGUAAAAUCAAACCACAUACUAAGUACAAAUAUAUUCCUUUUUUUGUUUUUUUUUUUAAAAGUGCGUUGGUUUUUUAUGUAAAUAGAUAUUUGUUUGGAAUUUCUUCUGAAUUAUGAUCUGUCAAUUACUAUAUCCCAUGAUUAUGUGUAAUGACAACGGAUUUUAUUUUGUUUUAUUUUUUUUGUAAACAGUUGAAAUCAAUGAAUAUCAUAAAUAAAGAUUGGAUGGCUCUUCCGAGAGCUAGUCCGACAUAUAUUAGCGGAGUUGAUAGUUUUUUAGAUUUGGCAUUUCAAAAGACCGCUCAAGGACAAGAAAUCCUUUGCCCUUGUAAAUUGUUUAAACCAUAAUUGGUAUCAUAGAGUAACGGUUAAAGAUCACUUGAUAGUCUAUGGUUUCGUAGAAGGCUAUACUGAGUGGGUCUUCCAUGGAGAAGGUUUGUCAAUGUAUUCGCAAGAUCUUCCAUCGCAUUAUUGGAAUUCGACCAAUGCAAAGGUAUAACAAUUAUUUAUUUUUAAAUGAUUUUAUGAUGUCAAAACAACAUUCUCUGAACUGAGCUAGCUAAUAAUAAAUGGAAAUUUUUAUGCAAAGCAUCACAAAAACAAAUGCUAAUGAUAGAAAGAGCUAGAGGAAUAUGCGUACAGUAAGCAAAAAGAAUUUCACUAGUAAAAGAAAACAAAUGGUGAGAAUAUAUUUGUGUUUUUAUUAAUUUCCAAUUGAUAUUUUGAAUUUGUUUUGGAUAACAUGACAAUACAAUACCUAUAAUGAUUGAUAUAAUUAAUAAAUUUCCUUGAUUUUUUGAAAAUAUUUCUAAUUAUGUCAUGUGUAGUGCUACAUUUAAUUAUUUUUUAGGCAUAUAUCAAGCAAGCCUUUAUUAAUAAAAAUUGUUUCUUGCUUUUGUGGAUUGAAAAUAGCAAGAUGCAAAUGAAAACAAUCAGCCUCCAACCAAUUGUGCAUUUUUUAUUGAAACAAGGAAAAGACAACCAAACAAGACUUACAAGGAGUUUUGUGAUGAUAGUAGUAAUAGAUCUUUCAAAUGCAAGCUGUCCAAUCACAACAAAAUAGUGAAAACAAAUCAGAUGAUGCCUUUUCUAUGAUAAUGGGAGGGACACAACCAGGUCGUGUUAUGUUGUAUGGGAGGAGUAUCACACCAACUAAUUUAAAGGGAAUUAGUGGUGGCUCUUCUAUAAAAGUUUCUGAAAACUUUAUUGAAGGGAUAAAAGAGCAGAUAAGAAAAGAAGUAAGAAAAGAAUUGGAAGAGCUGCUAAUAGCAUACAAGUCAUCUAUGCAACAAGAAUUUCGUUUUAUGAUAUCACUACUCCAAGCAUUGCUUCCAGGAAUGAAUGUUAACCAAGUUCUUGGAUCUAAUUUGAACUGGGGUUCUCCUAGGGAUGCUAAUAGUGCACCAAGUCAAGCAAUAUGUGCACAAAAUACGCAUUCCUCUGCUAGUAGCCAUGUAUCUCUGGUAUCUUUUUAUAAGUUUCAUUUUAGUUGAUGCCAUUAAUUAGAAAGUUCAUUUUUAAUAUCAUUGCAUUUUGACGAAGCUUAUUAUCAUGUUGAAUAAGAUAAAUUGUAUAUGUUGUAGCGAAUUUUUUACUUAUUAUUUUACUAAUUCAUUUUUAAAAA
RNA transcript from Dioscorea cayenensis subsp. rotundata (Guinea yam), 2785 nucleotides. RefSeq lists it as uncharacterized. NCBI's taxonomy places the organism in Eukaryota, Viridiplantae, Streptophyta, Magnoliopsida, Dioscoreales, Dioscoreaceae. The transcript is spliced from 7 exons. The record is from RefSeq and is a predicted model, not a curated record.